This 465-nucleotide ribosomal RNA is filed under the name uncultured bacterium. RNAcentral's name for it is "partial 16S ribosomal RNA". It matches the Rfam family "Bacterial small subunit ribosomal RNA", at positions 28 to 507 of the family's 1533-position model. The record is from RNAcentral.
GACGAACGCUGGCGGCGUGCUUAACACAUGCAAGUCGAACGGAAAGGCCCUGCUUGCAGGGUACUCGAGUGGCGAACGGGUGAGUAACACGUGGGUGAUCUGCCCUGCACUUCGGGAUAAGCCUGGGAAACUGGGUCUAAUACCGGAUAGGAGCCAUUUUUAGUGUGAUGGUUGGAAAGUUUUUUCGGUGUAGGAUGAGCUCGCGGCCUAUCAGCUUGUUGGUGGGGUAAUGGCCUACCAAGGCGGCGACGGGUAGCCGGCCUGAGAGGGUGGACGGCCACAUUGGGACUGAGAUACGGCCCAGACUCCUACGGGAGGCAGCAGUGGGGAAUAUUGCACAAUGGGCGCAAGCCUGAUGCAGCGACGCCGCGUGGGGGAUGACGGCCUUCGGGUUGUAAACUCCUUUCGCUAGGGACUAAGCUUUUUGUGACGGUACCUAGAUAAGAAGCACCGGCUAACUACGUG